Molecule: ribosomal RNA, 775 nt
Filed under: uncultured archaeon
Lineage: Archaea
Description: bacterial SSU rRNA
Rfam family: Archaeal small subunit ribosomal RNA
Source: RNAcentral
ACGGGGUGCAGCAGGCGCGAAAACUCCGCAAUACACGAAAGUGUGACGGGGGAACCCCGAGUGCACUCACGCAAGUGAGCGCUUUUGUGAAGUGUAAAUAGCUUCACGAAUAAGAGCUGGGUAAGACCGGUGCCAGCCGCCGCGGUAACACCGGCAGCUCGAGUGGUGAUCACUAUUAUUGGGCCUAAAGCGUCCGUAGCCGGUUUGGUAAGUCCUUGGGCAAAUCCUGUCGCUUAACGGCAGGAAUUCUGAGGAUACUGUCAGACUUGAGGCCGAGAGAGGUCGGAGGUACUUCUGGGGUAGCGGUGAAAUGCUAUAAUCCUAGAGGGACCACCGGUGGCGAAGGCGUCCGACUAGAGCGGGCCUGACGGUAAGGGACGAAAGCCAGGGGAGCGAGCCGGAUUAGAUACCCGGGUAGUCCUGGCCGUAAACGAUGCAUACUAGGUGAUGGCAUGGCCAUGAGCCGUGUCAGUGCCGUAGGGAAACCGUUAAGUAUGCCGCCUGGGAAGUACGGUCGCAAGGCUAAAACUUAAAGGAAUUGGCGGGGGAGCACCACAAGGGGUGAAGCCUGCGGUUCAAUUGGACUCAACGCCGGGAAACUUACCAGGGGAGACAGUAGAAUGAUGGUCAGGUUGACGACCUUACCUAACGAGCUGAGAGGAGGUGCAUGGCCGUCGCCAGUUCGUGCUGUGAGGUAUCCUGUUAAGUCAGGCAACGAACGAGAUCCGCGCCUUUAUUUGCCAGCAAGAAGUCACGACUUCGUUGGGAACACUAA